RNAcentral lists this unclassified non-coding RNA (253 nucleotides) under uncultured Kofleriaceae bacterium. Its description in RNAcentral is "contains 16S-23S intergenic spacer region". It matches the Rfam family "Bacterial small subunit ribosomal RNA", at positions 524 to 776 of the family's 1533-position model. The record is from RNAcentral. Lineage: Bacteria; Pseudomonadati; Myxococcota; Haliangiales; Kofleriaceae.
UACGGAGGGUGCAAACGUUGCUCGGAAUCAUUGGGCGUAAAGCGCACGUAGGCGGUCUGGUAAGUCGGAUGUGAAAGCCCUCGGCUCAACCGAGGAAGUGCAUUCGAAACUGUCAGACUUGAGUACGGGAGGGGGGUGCGGAAUUCCCGGUGUAGAGGUGAAAUUCGUAGAUAUCGGGAGGAACACCAGUGGCGAAGGCGGCACCCUGGACCGAUACUGACGCUGAGGUGCGAAAGCGUGGGGAGCAAACAGG